Molecule: ribosomal RNA, 475 nt
Filed under: uncultured bacterium
Lineage: Bacteria
Description: partial 16S ribosomal RNA
Rfam family: Bacterial small subunit ribosomal RNA
Source: RNAcentral
AUUGAACGCUGGCGGAAUGCCUAACACAUGCAAGUCGAGCGGAGUAGCAAUACUCAGCGGCGGACGGGUGAGGAAUACAUAGGAACUUGCCUUUAGGUGGGGGAUAGCUUGGGGAAACUCAAGGUAAUACCGCAUGAUCUCGCAAGAGCAAAGGUGCGCAAGUCUCGCCUUGAGAGAGGCCUAUGUCUGAUUAGCUAGUUGGCGGUGUAAUAGACCACCAAGGCGACGAUCAGUAACUGGUCUGAGAGGACGAUCAGUCACACCGGAACUGAGACACGGUCCGGACUCCUACGGGAGGCAGCAGUGGGGAAUAUUUGACAAUGGGCGAAAGCCUGAUCCAGCAAUUCCGCGUGUGUGAAGAAGGCCUUCGGGUUGUAAAGCACUUUAGUGAGGGAAGAAACAGCUUGGCCACACCAAGCCUUGGCGGUACCUCAAGAAUAAGCACCGGCUAACUCUGUGCCAGCCGCCGCCGUAA